This is a long non-coding RNA of Cryptomeria japonica (Japanese cedar), 14842 nucleotides long. RefSeq lists it as uncharacterized. The transcript is spliced from 2 exons. NCBI's taxonomy places the organism in Eukaryota, Viridiplantae, Streptophyta, Pinopsida, Cupressales, Cupressaceae. The record is from RefSeq and is a predicted model, not a curated record.
CGAAGGUUGCAGCAGAAGGUAAAGUAAAAUCAGAUUUUUAUUUGUUCUUUGAUGUGAAUGAGAGUAAAGAGAUAGAAUAAAUAAUUGCAGCAGUUGAUAACUUUGAUAAAGUCAAUUUCUAGAUGCAUGAUGAGGAGGUAAAUGAAGGGUUUUAUAGUAAACCUUUGUUUGAGAAAAGUACUAAUAAAGGCCCCUUGAUUAGAGAUUUUGAUUUCUAGUUAGGGGAUGUGGAAUUUGAGUCUCUUGAUUAUUAUACUAACACUGUUUUCAGUGAAGGAAACCAGGUUUCAGUAGUAGUAUGUCUUCCAAAAGACAUUGAAAUAGUGAAAAUUCAUAAAGGAGAAGUGGAAGGAGAAGGAAAAGGUAACACAGCAAAUGAGGUAAGGGAAGAUAUUUGUUUUGUUGAAGGAGAAGGUAUGAAUUCAGUUGUUUAUUCUGAUUUUGAUAGACUAUGUUGGUGGGAAGUCCAUUUUGAUACUUCGAAUGUUAUGAAGGGUAGAAGUAAUAUUGUGAGAUUGCAGAAAGUAUUGAACAUGAGAAUUUUGGUGGACAAAGAGGAGAGAUGGAUCCAAGACAGGCAUAGGGGCCAUAAAUGCUUUCGACUUUAACUCAGAAUACAUUUUCUUUUCAUGCAGGGCAUCCACGUGGAGGAGAACUCCAAGUUUGAAUUUUCAAAUUUGCUUCCUGUAGGCAUGAGACUGUGGGUGUUUAUGUUUUUUUGUCAGGCUUGAAUCCCAAAUGCUAGUAGUGAUUUUGAAUCUUUGGACUGAUUUUGGAAACUUUGUUUGGACAUCCUACCAGCCCAUACACAAAAUGGAAGCAUCAGUUAUUUUGAAUUAAAUAGAUGCAAACUAUAAUGGGUAUGUGUAGUGAAUAAAUUAGGGGAAAAUGAAGCCACAUGGGAAUGUGGCUUAGAAAUAAAGGAGGAAGUGUAAUAGAGGGAAAAGUAAGGGCAUCGAAUGGCAGAAUGUGACAAAGCUGCAAACAGGGAGAAGGGGUAUGCUGCGUAGCAAGGAAGAGAGGGGACAACUGCAUAUAAAUUGCAAAACCUGUAUAUAGGGCAUAAGAGAGGGGGAAGUGCUUUUGGAUUGCAAAGAGAAAGAGUAUAGAGAGGAUGUGAUCAAACUAUUGGGGGAGUGAAAAAGAGAACAAUAUUGGACCUACGUACAGCUAGAAGGGUGUGAAGGCAAGGUGCAUGGGAAUUCGAGAAUAUAAUGCUGCAUGGAAGACAUAGGAGUGGAGAUAUGAAAUGUGUGCAACAGUAAAUUUGCAUAGUUUGUUUCCAUUAUAAGGUAGAUUAGAGAAGGCCAUUGACAGUCCAAUAAAUGUAACUGUUUUGUUGCAGAUUAGAUGAAUAAUAUUAUUCUUGUUUGCAGAGAGUCUCUGCCAGUGCUUUGUUGUUUUGUCUUUGAGUUUGAGUUCAUAGGCAGGUGUGUUUUGUAUUGCAUCAAUGUUUGUCCUAGAAUGGAGCAGGCCACUCACCUGGGGAGCAAAGAGGAAGAACACCUCAGAGAGGAGGGACCUAGAAUCCAUAACUCCCAAAAGCCAACACUAAAUCACCAACACAAGAGUAGCUGCGUCCUGAGAGAACCUCACACCAUUGACCUUCAUCAUUCACCAACACAUAGCAGGGACGUGAGCAUCUCCCAUGUCAAGAAAUGUAAGCAGAAUGCCAAAAACCAAAGACCAAACGCCAAGAUUUGAAGACAAUGCACCAAAAAACAAGCACAAGGAUCCCACCAAAGAUUGGGGCUUUGAAAAUUGCUCCAACCCAAGGCAUAGGGAAGAGGAGAAAGGCUCAUGAAGGGCUUCCAAUGAAGCAAAAAAAGCCAACAUGGUCCAAAACCCUUGCACCAAAAGUGGCCAAAAGUAGGAAAUAGACAGCAAAUACACUGCCAAAUCCAAUCAAUCUAUUGUCCUCCAUCCUAGCCACAGUAGCAACAAUGCCAUCGGAGCCUAAAAAUUCUCCGUCCUUGUCUCUUCCCAUGGCCCCAUAGACCAAUCUGUAAAAGCUUAUGAACAAAUUGCCUAUGACAGAAAUAGAGGUCAUUGGACAAGUCAUAAAAAUGCCUUUCUGCCAUGCAGACGAGGCAGGCAACCAUGAAAAACCUCCAAGGGAUAAGGGCGCCACACAGCUCCCCCCGGACCUGAUCUGCAACAGCUGUUGCAUCCUCAUCAUUAUCAUUGCUCGCUUCCCCCUUUGCAACCCCAUUGCUGUUUGAAACUCUACCUCUACUCCCGUUCCCGCUCAUCGUUCCAUACAUGCUUUGAUCAACAUUACUAGAAUAAAUUUUUUUCAGAUGUUAUUAUCGACAUUUUGAGUAUUUGAUCAUGCUAUUUGGUUUGACUAAUGCAUUGACUGCUUUCCAAUCCAUGUUGAAUCAUGUAUUUAUUGGUCUAUUGGUCUAUUAGAGGAAACUAGUUUUAGUAUUUUUUGAUUGUAUUUUGAAUCUUUGAUAUAUAGCAAGACAUGGGAAGUUCAUUUGAGGCACCUAAAUGGACUCCUUGAAAUUUUAGAGCAAAAGCUCUAUUUGUGAAAGAAUCUAAGCAUGAUUUUGUGGCCAUAGAGCUUUUAUGCUUGGGCCAUGUCAUUAGUAUUCAAGAUGUGCAAGUGAAUUAGGAGAAAAUUCAAGCAUUUUGGAUUGGCCACCCCUACCACACUAACAUAGUUGAGAGGAUUCUCUAGUUUAUCUAGCUACCAUAGAAGUUUCGUUAAGGGGUUUGCACAACUAUCAACACUCUUCGACUAACAUGACAGGGAAAGGAGCUUUUGCAUGAUCAAUAAAAUACAAGAAGCUUUUGAUAAUCUAAGGAAGUAAUUAGCUCAUGCCCUAUACUUGCCAUACCAAACUUCUCACAAUCUCUUAUUGUAAAAUCUAAUGCUUUAGGAGAGAGAGUUGGAGUUCUAAUGCUAAAGAGCCAUCUCAUUAUCAUUUGAGAGUAAAAAAUUCAAAGGUUCAAAAGGGGCUUUUCUAUUUAUGAUAAGGAGAUGCUUGCCAUUAUGCAUGCUUUGUCAAUGUUCAAAUACUAUCUUGUUUAUGGUAGAUUUGUAGCUAAAACAUACCACAACUACUUGAAGUUCAUCUUGGUUUAGUGAGACCUGAAUGAUAGGCAACAAAAAUGAGUAAGCUCCAAGCUUACAAUUUUGAUAUAGGUAGAAGAAUACAAUUGUUGAUUCCAUUUCUAGAAUGCACACUCUUUGGUCUAUUUCUAACACUUUUGCUGAUUGGAAGGUUUUUAUCAUGACCAAAUAUGCUAAGAACACAUUUUCUUUUGAAAUCUUAGAGGGGAGUGUGGAAGAUGAUAGGUAUACAACAGUAGAUAUUCUCAUUUUGCAUAAGGACAGAAUAAAUUUAAUACCUAAAUCUAAGAUGAAUGAGAAGAUUUUGAAAGCAUAGCAUGGUUCACCUUUGGCUGGUCACCUUAAAUUCUACAAGACAUACAAGUAGAUUAGGGAAAGGUUCUCUUGGAAGUGCCUUAAGGAUGAUGUACUUUGCUACAUCAAAGAGUGCACAACCGAUUAACAAAACAAGUUAGAACAUGUUUUUCUUGUAGGAUUAUUGCAACCAUUACCUAUUCAAAUCACAAGUUGGAGAGUGUAUCUAUGGGCUUCAUCAUAGGCCUUCAUAAGUUAAUGGCAGGGACUGUAUUAUGUGAUUAUGAAUAGAUUAACCAAGUAUGCACACUUCUUUGCCAUUCUUGCAGAUCUUAGAUGACAUUGGGUAGCUGAUUUAUUUUUCAUAGAAGUGUUUAGAUUACAUGGCUUGCCUAAGAACUAUGCUAGUGAUAGAGAUAGCAAAUUCCUCAGCCUUUUUUGGCAAGGGUUGUUUUGUUUGACUAAUACUAAGCUUACUUCUAAUACUAGUUAUCAUCCAUAGACAAAUGGUUAAACAAAGAUAGUGAAUAAGUAGGUUGAAGGAUACUUAGAAAAUUAUGUCACAAACCAGCAGGUGGCAUUGGUCAAGUGGUUGCACCUUCGAGAGUAUUACUAUGAUACCACCCAUCACAUGUGUAUCAGCACUCCAUUUAUGGCAUUAUAUGGAUAUGACACAUUGCCUAAGUUACUGGGUUCGCCCUUGGACCCCCUUGGUACCGGUCCUGGAUCGAAUGGGUUCCUAGUUUGGACUGGGUUCGACUAGGGUUCAAAAAACCUAGAGGUGGUUCGUCCCUGGUCGAACCCAAGCGAACUCGGGUCGAACCCAGUCGAACCUAGGUCGAACCUAGUUGAACCCGAGUUGAACCUAGGCAGCUGGGUGGCCCAAAAAAGCAAAUUAUAUGCAAAAUUUAAUUUUUUUUUGAAUUCCGCCUGCUAAAAAGUGAAACUUAUACCCUAAAAGUGACUUCUAAAAAACAUUAUGUUCACUCAUUUCACCUCUAAAAGUGGCAUUGGCUCAUCUAAUGUCAAUGUCAAUGAGGAGGAGGAGGAUGAAUUAGAUGAUCCAUUUGAUGAUUAAACUUUAUAUUGUUGAAAGUUGAAACAAUGAUACUUGAAUAUUUUGUCAUUUUGAUAUUAAACUUGAUGUAUAUGAUGCUAUUAUGGUAUCAUCACGAUGCUAUGAUUACAAGCUUAUGUUUGUUUUGUUGUUUAUAUGAUGCUAUGUGACAUGCAAAUUUUAAUUCAUGCUUAUAGGCUUGACAAAUAUCAAAAAAUCUAUAUAUAUAUAUAUAUUAAAUUUACAUGUUUUUGUACUAACGAACCCAAAUGAACCCAAACCCCUUUUCAAAAUUUUGCCGUACCAGUGUAUCGGGUUCUUCAAACCCGAACUGAUGCCCGAACCCGAACCGGUAACUUAGUUAAUUUGGUGUUUAUUAACGAGGUACCAGCAUCUAGUGAUUUGGUGGGACAUAGUUGAGACAUUUUGAGGUCACUUAAAAAUCAUUUGCAGCAGGCCCCAAAUUAAACAAAAAAUAUGUGCGAACCAAUACUAUAUUGAGAGAUCAUUUAAGAUAUCUGCAUCUACAAGCUUAUAAAUAGAUUUCCAUUAAGCGAGGGGGGGAUUAAAAGCUCAAGUUUUGAGGACAUUAGAUGAAGUGGCCUAUGAAUUGGAGUUGCUAGCAGGUAAUUGGAUUCACAAUGUUUUCCACAUAUUUUGCCUCGAGGGCAUUGAGCCAACAUAUUUGACCAUUAGUUGAUCUACAACCCUUGGAUGAUGAGUAGAAACUUAUAUUGGUAUUGGAUUCCAUCAUUGAUAUAUUGGAGAAGAGUUAGAAGGAUAAGGCCAUCACAUAGUACUUGGUCUGUUGGAAGGGCCUCCCUAUAGAGGAUGCUACUUGGGAGAGGCCAAAGAUAUUUGAAUGCCUAAUGGGCCCUUUCCAUUUAUCCAUCUUAUAGUGUACCGUAAGCCCAUUUUAUUAUUUUCUCAAUGGUUCGGAGGAAAAAAUAUCUUUAAAGGAGGGGGGGGGGUUACAUUUGGGAAAACUAGCAGUAACAAAUAUUGUUAGUUUUUGGUAGUGCAUAAUGGGAGAUAAAUUUUUUUUCAAAGAGGGCAGUUAUGUUGUCAGAGUGGGGCAUUGAGUUAUGGUUGUAUUUUGAUUUGAACAGCAUUUGCUAUUGUAGGAAUGUAGUUAGUUUAUGGAAGUUCUAGGAUUUUGGCCCUCCUUUUUGCCAUAAAAUGUGGCAUUAGACUAUUAGAAGUCUCUUCCAUUUUGCUUUGAUAUUUCUGUGCUAGUGUUUUGUAACCACUUUCAAAAUGAAAUUUCUUAAAUCUUGAAACUGGAGGACAAAUAUUCAUUCUUUAGCUUCCUUCAGCAGACUCAUCAGGGGCCUGCAACUGUGCUGAAGAUGUACUCUUUCUUGAUUUUUGGCUUGUGCUUAGUGGUCUGUCACUGCUGUACACAGUGUACAAGUUAAUCAGUUUUAGCAAAUUGUUUGCAGGUCAUUGCAUGUUUUGCAGGUUUGGCAUAGUAGCAUGAUGUUAUCUAUGUAAUCCAAUUUUAUUUUGUCAGUAAAAUACGAUAUUUCAAUAUGGUGUGUUGUUUAUAAAUUCAAGUUUAGUUAGUUAUAUUGUAGAGGUUAUUACAAUAACCAAGAUCUUUCUUCUAAUUUCUGGUGUAAUUUUUCUGGUUGAAACGUUUACAAAUGUGCACACAUGUGGAAAGCCAAAGAUUUGUUUGCUAAAAUUAUUGUUAGUGGCAAAGUGGAUUUAUAUUGUAAUUUUGCAAUUUUGUGAUAUUUACAAAGGCAGUCAAAAAGUCUGACAUUGAAGUGUAAGCUUGCAGAGAUGAGAAGUUACGAUGCAAUUUGGCAGUUUUUAUAAAGCUACAUGUGAUAUGGAAAAUUCCAAAUGAUACAAAGGAAACGAGAUCUCAUUGAAGGUCCUAUACCCUAUUUGAAUUCACAGUUAUUGCAUUCUACUAGGUGUUACACCAUUGAUCAUUUUUUAUAUUUGCCAAGAAUGUUGUGUUAGGAAAUACUGGAAAUGUACGUGAGCAUGACAAGGAGAGGAAAGUCACGGAGUUAGUUGAUGUUUUUGUGAAAACUUAAGGAGAGGUAGACUUAUGGACUUCUCUAUAGCUUUGUGAGCUGCACAACAAUCUUGAAAUCCAAGUUCCUUAUCAUCAUGUGGACUUUUGGACUUUUGUUACAGUUUUGUAAUUUUUACAAAUGUGCAUUGUAACCUCAAAAUCUUGUUUAGUGUUGAAGUGGUGGGGUACAGGGGAUUUGCUGCAGUUUUGUAAUGUUCACAAAUGUGCACAAAAGUUAUGGAAACCUGCAAUUUAUAUAAAUGAUGGAGAUUCAAGUUACAUGUGUAAUCCAAAAUCCUGCAAUUGAGUUAUAAGCUGCAUAUACAAUUGAAAAUACCACUCGUGAAGAGUUAAUGUGCUGACACAACUCAAAAGCCUGGAAAUGAAUGAACUUGCAAACAAAUUCAAAACCCCACCAUUUGUUUGAAAGAAAGUCUAAGAGAGAUAUGCUCCAACUGAAUGGUCUGAAUACAGGAUAAGCAGGCCCCCCUGGAGAAUCCUCUACAUUUCUUGACAAUUGCAGACCUUCUUUGUUGAGAAAAUACUGUCACAUGAAAGCUCACACAGCAACAAAUGUUGCAAUCGAAGAAUCUGCAUUAAGACAGGUAUCAAGCAAUCUAUUGGAUAAUGCAUUGUUAUGAACUUAUGGGUGCCUGCUGGAAGCUGGGUUAAAGUUGAAGCUAUUGAAGUCCCACGAAAUGGUGUUCUUAUUGUGAUUGAUGACAGUGGACCUGAUAUGAGUUUAAUGACUCAAACUGAAUCCAUAGUGCUGUUUGGAUCUAACCUCUCUUCUUGAAAGUAUAAUUGUAGAUAGUAUUGCAUGGAACUCUGUGGCUGGAAUUGCUAUCGCUCAAACAAGAACAGCAAAUGCACAAAGUAGAUUUGUUGAAGGUUUUAGAAACUGUAACGAAAAUGCAAUUGGUGGGUGUAAAAUCAAACCCCACAACCUUUUGCUAGCAUCUUACCUGCCUGUGCUCAUGCUCAUUAGGAGUUUUUGAACAACAUAUAGACAUUGAUUGAAGCAUAAUAAAAAAUGGAUGUAAGUUCAGACAUUAUAGCUGCAACCAGUGUGUUAGAACUUAGAAUAUGUAAAAUGUGGAAAUUUAGACAAAACAUGUAAAUUGUUUCAUAUGGCUGCAAAAUGUGGAAGCACGGCCAUGAUAGUGAGCAAACUGUUUGACAAAAUGCCUUUAAAAAUGUAUAGCAUAUUGUGUGUAACAUAAACAUCAAUUGAAGCUUGAAAAAUGGGAACAACAUCAUAUGUUACAGUUGCAAGUGUCCUUGUAGAUAUACAUGUGAAAUACAGAAGUAGAGAUAAGACACACGAAUUGUUCGAGAGGUGUGUAAAAUGUGGAGUUACGUACAAGGGAUGUAAACUUUUUACUGAAAUGUAGGAUGCUAGAUGAGAGCACGGACAAGGCAUGUCAAUGGGUUAACAUGUGUACAAAAUAUGAAAACACACACGACACCUGAAAUAUUUGACAUAACUUCUUCAGAGAUUUUGGGUUUUGUUGAAUGCACUGGUUGUAAGAUACUCACAAAAUUUGUAUGUUGACUUGUCUUUAAACUGACCAAUGGACAUUUGCCAGCAUAGUCCUAGCUAAUUCCCAAAUGGAAGCUUUAGUGCAUAGUAUUCAAAAUGUUAAAGCAUAGACGAGACAAAUCAACUAUUUGACAGAAUGCCUUCUCAUAUACAUGUGCAAAAUGAAUCUGUUAAUGAAUGCUUGGAGUUAGGUACAAGGGAUGUAAACUUUUUACUGAAAUGUAGGAUGCUAGAUGAGAGUAUGGACAAGGCAUGUCAAUGGGUUAACAUGUGUACAAAAUAUGAGAACACACACGACCUACUAUUUGACAUAGCUCCUUGAGAGAUUUUGUGUUUUGUUGAAUGCACUGAUUGUAAGAUACACACAAAAUGGGUAUGUUGACUUGUCUCUAAACUGACCAAUGCACAUUUGCCAGCAUACUCCUAGCUAAUGCCAAAUGGAAGCUUUAGUGCAGAGUAUUCAAAAUGUGAAAGCAUAGAUGAGACAAAUCAACUGUUUGACAGAAUGCCUUCUCAUUAUACAUGUGCAAAAUGAAUCUGUUAGUGAAUGCUUGGAGUGCAGGGAAGUUUUGAUUUCAAAAUUUGGGGCACGCACUCUAAUUCUCCAGCUAGAGUACAAUAUAGAGCUUUUGAGCUGAUUGAAACCAUGAAGGAAGAUCAGGCGUUCAAAUUUUGAGAAUGCAUACUUGGUUCGUUGUGUUCCUGCAUAUAAAUGGUUUCAAUUUUCAACAUCUAAUGUGUAAUAUAAUGCCAUACUACAAAAAAUUGUUUCAGGUGAAAAUUGAUGGGGUCAUGAUGAAUCAAACAUAGUGGUCCUUGUUUAGAAGUUUGGAAGUAAAGAGCAGGCUAAGGAAUAUGUCAGACCAGGUCCUUUUGGUUGCUUUUGAGAUUAUUUAUCUGAAACAUUUUGGUCCGUACUACAACAUGUGCUAUUUUGAAUAGUAAGAUCUGGUCUGUCCUAAAGACUGAGAAUUAUAUACUUGUCACGUACAGAGAAAACAGAAAUGAGCUUCAAGUUUGUCAUAAUCAAAUCUGAAUUAACACCACAAAAUCUUGCAUGAUCAUGUCAGUGUUAAAGAUGCUGAAAUAUGAUUAUUGCAAGCAGCCAAAAUAUAUCUGUUCAAAUUUACUCAUACAUUGCAACAGUAUGUAUGGGCGAAAAACAUAUAAUGAAACAGAGAUCGUUCCAACUGAGCCCACAAAGGAUACCUUAAAACUUCUCGUCUCCUAAACCAGACAAAAUAAAUGCUUUUGUUUGUAGCUCCCAGAUUUUUGGGUAAUUUUGAGUUUUUUCAUCAGAAAGAAUGAUGCCGAGUAAGAUACUAUUCAGUUAGCCCUAGAUAAGCUGGUUACAAUUGCCAACUGCAAAUGAGUUCUUAUGAUGAGAGAUGAAGUGAUCAUGAUGGAGAAGAAUGGGAUGACAGAGCAUAGCCUAGUGUUUGCACAUGAUCCAUUUGACAAACUGCUUCUAAGAAAUGUAAUCUUGUGAACUGCUAUGGUUGCAAAACAGAAUGGUUAUAUGAAAGCUUGAGAUGGAGGUGCUGAAAAGAAGACAUAUGAUGAUUUAGAUUGAUCAGCUGCAAAGAAGCCAUCUUGUUUGUAAAGUAGAGCAGAGGACAUGAUGACUUUAAUAAAGUAUUUUAACAGUACUUUUAUCAUGCCUUCAAGUCCUUUUAUAAAAGAUGGAUCAAAAAGUCAUUUUAUUAACGUUUUGAUAUAUAUUAAUUUUAAGUGACUUUUUAUAAUAUUUUAAUUGUUUACAAAUACUUUUGCUCAUACAAGCAUCAACAUGAGAUCAAUGCAAGCUCUUGCGAGCACAACCAUGAGACUAAUAUUAGCUCCUUUUGAGCAACAACACUAGAAACCAUGCAUGGAAUACCAAGAGUCACAUAAAUCCACUUAUUUAGAUAACACCUCCAUAUUAGAAGCCAACUAUGGAAGACCAGGAGUCAAACUUAGAAUUCCAUAUUAGAUGCCCAUUGGGAGUUGAACUUGGUUCUCCACAAUGAGAACUCAAUGCUUUAACCAAUUAAGGUCAAUCCCUCGAACUUAAGUGACUUUUGAAAAGUGUAUAUAUUGUAAUGUGUAAAGUUACUUUAUUUAAAAAGAACUUUAUUAGUUUGAAUUAUAUUUUCCUGAAAUCCCUAGCAAACAAAAUGUUAACUGUUCUGUCUUUAUAAAGGGCUGUCAUGUAAUCAUUAUGAGACAUUUUCCAAAUUUUCAAGACUUUGUACAUGAAACAAACAGGGAAGACUUUUUGCAUUCUUUCCGAAGAAAUCAGAAGACAUUGCAAAUGUUUGUUUCUCUCAUUCUUCAUGAAAAUUUGUGCUGCUUUUGAGUUCAAUGUGAAAUUCGUUUCUUAGACUUUUCUUUCUUUUUUGUUUUUGUUUUGUGCAACGUGCAAACUAGUUAAUCUUCAUUCAUUUGUUAAUGCUGUAUGUGGUAAUUGAACUCUGAAUUUUUAUUUAAUUCCACGUGUAUCUUUAGUUUUCCAUUCUUUCUUGAGUAACCCUUAUGGUUCCCUGCAUUUAAUCCAUCUAGGGUUGCUCCUUUCUCCCUUUCCUUUCAUUUUCUAUUUUGUGCCCUCUUUGUACUUCCUGGUUAGAAGUACUAAAAACAACAAAAACUUCAAUCAUAUGAGGGAGCUGACCUCUCAAAUGCAUAGGAAGAUCACCUAUCACAUGGUUGUUUCUUCAUUUGUUGCACUAUCCAUUGCUGGAGUCAAGGGGAUAAUCACAAAUACCACAGCAAACAGUUUACUUGCUAACAAGUUGCCAAUGCUCUCCAAGGAAGAAGGAAAAGCCAAAUGUGUAAGGGCAGAUUAGGCAUUCUUACCCAAAUCGGAACAAUCUUAAAAUUUUUGGUUUAAGGAUUAAAACCUUGGUACUAGAGUUUUACAAAAAGAGAAGCAUUCCCUCAAGCUGGAUCCUUUGCCAAAAUGUAGUUUCUACCUGCUACAGAUUCACAAACUAUAAUGAAGAUGCCUUGGACAUAUGGAUAAAUAACAAUAGGUUCCACAAGAAAGGGUUUCCAAGAAUUAGUUAUCCAUUGAUGUAAUUCGGGCAGAUUGGACCAAAGAUUGUUGGACUUGCCUAUCAAAGUCAAUUUUGAGUAAUGCUCAGCUUCCUCUAUGAUUGCAUCGUCUAGUAGUAGGAGUGGAAUCUUCUAUGCUAAUUUUAACAUCUACACCAAGCUCCCUUUCUUGCCACGUAGAGCUUUCUCUGAAGAAAAAAGCGUCCCACCCUCAGAAGGGCCAACUGUUAUAGGAUGACGACCUUUAGCUUUCUCCCCAUCACCAAUUUCUGAAAAUGUUUGCACAGAGCCUCCAUUUUGGAACAAGGGCCUACAUCUAGCCAAAGACCCAUCCACAUUCUUUUUCUGCGGGUCAUCUGAAUUUUGCUGCCCACCCAUGAUAAGAGAAUAACAUAAACCUUCAGAAAGGAGCUGCUUUUUGUAAGGGUUAAGCAGAGCAACUUUCCUGUCAGCUCCAUCAUGCACAAUAGUUGAGAAUUUGGAAGUUCCACUUUAAGAGCUUAAUGCAUGCACAGUGGCAUCUGUCUUGCUCCCUUAUUGCUGCAGUUGUAGUCUGCUGGUAUAUUGAUUUCAGAAUACCAUUAUGUGCUGUUAGCUGUCAAUUGUCAACAUACAUUUCUAUUUUCCUUGCAGGUUUCACAGGGAAAUUUCUCUUUUAGGGUUUUAACCAAAGAAACUGCAUGAAUUUUGGCUUCAGGAUACCAAACUCUUUCAUGUUUGGUUUUGUAGUUUAACCUCCAUUCUGUCAACUUGCCCCCAAGCCGGUGUUCAUGUUUAUAGCUUAAUCAUCAUAUUGUAACCUUGUUCGUAGAAUACUUGUCACUACCUAGCAUAACAUGUAAUGUUCAACUACAUUAAUUCUUUACCAGGUUCAAGAUGAGUUUUGACCUGAGCUGUAAAAGUGAGAUGAAAAUUGCACAUGCAAGGAAGGUUGCACUCUUGAGUACAACCUGUCAAAUGAACUGGCCAUCUUUCCCGCACCCAUGAAGUUGAUUGAAGUUUUCGAAUGAACACCUCUUUGAAAGGAAAUGGAUAAGAUUGUUCUCAUUUGAGAUCCUAUAAGGUGGAAUUUUCUCUUGCAUUGGGGAUCCACUGUCGACGGAAUAAGAAGUAUGCUUUCUACUUUGAUUGCAAUGUGAAACAUAGCAGAAAGGAUUCUUUGGUCCUGCCUGAUAGGAAGACAAAUUACAUUUUGCAUUGUUAGAGAUUGGGUCUUUAUGUCUUGCCAUCAAACUUCUGUGCUCACUUGACUCAUCAUACAAAUUUCGAUAAGGAUAUACUUUUCCCAAUGACAGUAGCCUGAGCCCACUUUUCCAUGCCCUCAAGCAAUCACUUUAAUUAAAUGACUGUGAAAUAUAUUUUUGUUAAGACAAGGUCAAUAAUACCAAUAUACAAAAUAAUUACCCUGAAUUACGAUCAAAUUGUUCAUGCACAUGCAGCAGGAGAGCAUGAAAUCAAAUGAAUGCAGCCUUGUGGACUGGGUGCAAUUGUUUUUUUUGCAGCUUAAAAUAAAUUCUUGUCCUCAUCUAAGAAUUGACUCAAUUGCGUUUGUUCAAAUGUUCCUCUCAGCAUUGCUCUGUUACGGAGUCUGCCAAAUGUGGAAGCUCCAGAAAAGGUUUAGUUCCAACAAUGGUAUGGUUGUAGGCUUAUGCAGCAUCAUUAUGGCAGGUAAACUCUUUUGGAACACAUGCUUGAGGAAGGUACAAAACCAAUUCAAAUCACCUCCUUUGCUGUUCGUGUUGCAUAUAGUCUUGCAGGGCUUGUAGAUGAAAGUAUGCAUUGUAUUGAUUCCGAGAGACUGCAUGAACUUGCAUUUCCAAAUUAAUUUUCAUUUUAUUUUUUCGUCUUAAUAGCUUAUUCUUUUCUUGUCUUUACUUGAAAUACAGGGAGGAAUUGCUUUGGUCGUAUAAUGAGCAUUAUGUAUCCAAUGUGGAGUAGCAAAUUUCUUACAAUUUCUGCCACUAUUUUGUUUACAUCUCUGUUACCGGGUCCCACGAGAACCUUAGCCAUACCUUGACUGGUCUGAACUGGGUUUUGAUCCUGGUCCAGGUCUAGCUUGAGUUUGCCAAGGAUCCUACCUCAGACCUUUGCAUUUGGUCUGAAUAGGACAUUAUGGAAUCCUGCGUGAAUGCCCUUGGUUCAAAACAAAACCAUCUUUAGUAAGGGGGAAAAGCCAAAUGAAAAAAAAAAUUAAACAGCUUCUUUUCGUAGUCAAGGUAAAGGAUGAGGGACACAAUGCUGGUAUAUAGGUUCUCCUGUGUAGCGCAGAUUUUGGGAAUGUCACUGAUGCUGCUUCCACCAGACCAACCAAUAACGUUGAUGCUCUCGAUGAAGAGCAAAAUAAUGGAUUGUAUUGAAUUUCCAUGAUCAUAUCGGUUAAGCCGACUUGCAAGCUUCGUCCGAUGGAUUGUUCUCACCACAGAUGAUUGUCUUGAAGCUUGUCAACCAUAACUGAAGCAUUAGUCGCAGAUGCGUCAUUUGUAUGAUUUUUGGCUUUUGUAGGAGAUGCAAUCAAAGCUGAAAGAGAGGAAACUUGGACACAUUCCGUUGUUGAUGUAGUAGCCCUACCUUUAACCUAAUCACUUGAAGUUGGAGUCGCACCCAAAUCUAACGACACUCUAAAACCUGGCUUGCGUUUGAAGUGGCUUCAAUCUCAUGCAUUGAAAAACUAGCGAGAUGCCCCUUUCCACCAGGUAGAGAGUGAAGAAUCCUUCUUCCCAAAAUCCAUAGACGAAUCUUUUUUCUUUUGUGGACAAUGAGAAUCUCAAUGGCUGUGCUCAAAACAAAAAUGAUAAUGAUUUUGUAUCCAUACCUUGUCUUCUUUUCCAAUAUUCGAUUUCUUUAGGCAACCCUUUAUCUAAGUCUAUCUCUACACAUAUCUGGCUGAAAGUGUUAAUGAGUGCAAUCUGAAGUUUUCGUGGUCACCUCCAAAGAGUAGCCUAAUGAAUUCCCAAUAGCCUUAGAGCACAAAUUACACCUAUACGGAAGAGGUAAAUAAGGUAGGCGCACCCAAACAAGUAUUAGAGGAGAAGGAAUCCAUUCGAGGAUUCAAGGCUUAAAUUUUAGUCCUCCCAAAACGACGGCCUCAAUUUGGAAUAGGUAGCUAUUCUAUCUUCAGUAGACACGAACUCAACAAUAAAGGAUUCCUAUGCAUACAAGACAUCAUUUUUCUCUACUAGUAGAGGCAUCCAUAAUUUGAGAUCUACUUAUGUAAAUUUUUUGGUAGGGUAUCCCACUUAAGGUAUUUCGACUUCAUUUUUUUACACCCUUUUUAGGCAACUUAUUUGUUUUGAUCAAGAGAUAAUUUGGGGACAUGAUCUACUUUCUUUAUAGAAUCCCCAUGUCUUCUAAAUUUGACCUUUACAUCCAACCCAGACAUGUUCAAGGUAAUAGGGGCAAGAAUAGAGAAAUCACGGCGGUUCACAAUAGAGAAAUCAUUUUGAAUUUUUUUUAUUUUUUUAUUUUUUUAUUUGGAGUAACUCGUAGUUUUAGAAGAAAUCAUGGCCUUAUUUUUAGAAUAAUCUAUUGUACAAGGAGUAACCUCAUUUGGUUGUCAUAUCUUUAAGUUAUAGCUCUACAUUGCCACAAGUCAAAUAUUUGCUAUCAAAGCAUGGCUUAGUUGUUGAUCAUUCAUACAUGAUAUAUAGUUUGAAAGGGCACGAAUGCAAAAUGUGAUAUCUUUAUUUAAAUUUGGUGGUUGUCAAAUUUAUAAUGCAACCAAUAGAAAUUGCAUUAUGUCUCAACCUAGCAAACCUUAAAUUUGCUUCAUAAUAGAGGGCAAACUUUCCAUGUUUAUCUUUA